UACGAAGGGUGCAAACGUUGCUCGGAAUCAUUGGGCGUAAAGCGCACGUAGGCGGCUUCGCAAGUCGGAUGUGAAAUCCCUCGGCUCAACCGAGGACGUGCAUACGAAACUGCGGAGCUUGAGUGCUGAAGAGGAUCGCGGAAUUCCCGGUGUAGAGGUGAAAUUCGUAGAUAUCGGGAGGAACACCUGUGGCGAAGGCGGCGAUCUGGGCAGACACUGACGCUGAGGUGCGAAAGCGUGGGGAGCAAACAGG
RNAcentral lists this ribosomal RNA (253 nucleotides) under uncultured bacterium. Its description in RNAcentral is "partial 16S ribosomal RNA". It matches the Rfam family "Bacterial small subunit ribosomal RNA", at positions 524 to 776 of the family's 1533-position model. The record is from RNAcentral.